AUACGGAGGAUCCGAGCGUUAUCCGGAUUUAUUGGGUUUAAAGGGAGCGUAGGCGGACGCUUAAGUCAGUUGUGAAAGUUUGCGGCUCAACCGUAAAAUUGCAGUUGAUACUGGGUGUCUUGAGUACAGUAGAGGCAGGCGGAAUUCGUGGUGUAGCGGUGAAAUGCUUAGAUAUCACGAAGAACUCCGAUUGCGAAGGCAGCCUGCUGGACUGUAACUGACGCUGAUGCUCGAAAGUGUGGGUAGCAAACAGGAUUAGAUACCCUGGUAGUCCACACAGUAAACGAUGAAUACUCGCUGUUUGCGAUAUACAGUAAGCGGCCAAGCGAAAGCGUUAAGUAUUCCACCUGUGGAGUACGCCGGCAACGGUGAAACUCAAAGGAAUUGACGGGG
RNAcentral lists this ribosomal RNA (393 nucleotides) under uncultured bacterium. Its description in RNAcentral is "partial 16S ribosomal RNA". It matches the Rfam family "Bacterial small subunit ribosomal RNA", at positions 523 to 918 of the family's 1533-position model. The record is from RNAcentral.